GGAUAAUAGAAACAUACUUAGCCUCUUUGACAAUCUUGAUGAUAGAAUUUCUAAAUUAGAAGCCAUAAGUGAAAUCAACUCAUUCUGAAUUUUAUGACCAAGAUAACGAUAAUGAAUCUCUUUGUUUUAAAUGUCUAAGAUGUUUUUGCAUUACCAAGUCAAAUUCUGCAACUAUCGCAACACAAGCUAAGAAGUUACCCUUAAGGUAUUGUGAACUUGCUCACUGGAUCUUCUAAAAGGCAUAGCGUAAGGGAUGUCUUAUUACGAAUAAUUGCCAUUUUGAAAUUUCUUGUUGAACACAAUUGGCUUUUAGAGGAGCCAUCGAGCAACUUUACAAUGAACUUAAUGGUAAUUUCUUAGCUUGUGAUGGGAUCAUUGCAGAAUUUGAUUUGGUAAUGCAAGACCAUCUUAGGCGUAUUAAAAAACAGAGAGAUUCAUUAGCAUUAUCCUAGCCAUAAAAUUCAGUAUGAGUCGAUUUCUCUUAUGGCUUCUAACUUGCAAAUUUUAUCAUCAAGAUUGUUAAAGAGGCCAAGUAUUUCUUUGUUAUC
Brachypodium distachyon (stiff brome) is the source of this 548-nucleotide non-coding RNA. Lineage: Eukaryota; Viridiplantae; Streptophyta; Magnoliopsida; Poales; Poaceae. The record is from RefSeq and is marked provisional.